Molecule: transfer RNA, 67 nt
Filed under: Danionella cerebrum
Lineage: Eukaryota; Metazoa; Chordata; Actinopteri; Cypriniformes; Danionidae
Description: tRNA-Ser
Source: RNAcentral
GUAGUCGUGGCCUAGUGGUUAAGGUGAUUGACUGGAGAUCAAAAGGUCUGUUCGAUCCCCAGCUCCA